RNAcentral lists this ribosomal RNA (486 nucleotides) under uncultured bacterium. RNAcentral describes it as "partial 16S ribosomal RNA". It matches the Rfam family "Bacterial small subunit ribosomal RNA", at positions 28 to 507 of the family's 1533-position model. The record is from RNAcentral.
GAUGAACGCUGGCGGCGUGCCUAAUACAUGCAAGUCGAACGCUGGAGAUCUAGCUUGCUAGAUCGAAGGAGUGGCGAACGGGUGAGUAAUACAUAAGCAACCUACCCACGAAGACUGGGAUAAUCUCUGGAAACGGGGACUAAUACCGGAUAGGUAAUCGGAAGGCAUCUUCUGGUUAUUAAAGGUUAAAAACACUGGUGGAUGGGCUUAUGGCGCAUUAGUUAGUUGGUGAGGUAACGGCCCACCAAGACGAUGAUGCGUAGCCGGCCUGAGAGGGUGAACGGCCACAUUGGGACUGAGACACGGCCCAGACUCCUACGGGAGGCAGCAGUAGGGAAUUUUCGGCAAUGGGGGCAACCCUGACCGAGCAACGCCGCGUGAGUGAAGACGGCCUUCGGGUUGUAAAGCUCUGUUGUAAGGGAAGAACGGUAGAUAGAGAAUAUCUAAGUGACGGUACCUUAUCAGAAAGCCACGGCUAACUACGUG